UCGAUUGAACUACCUGCAGGGUCCCUGUAACAACAUCAUCUGCUUUUAAACAAAACUGCUGUGUUUGAGGGUUUGUUUUGUUCAGAAAUAAACACAACUUCUCCGUUUGGAAUUAGUGUAAAUAUUUCCCCAGCGGGGAGAUACUUUGUGUCUGUUCUAAAGAAGAGAUAUUUUGUAACCGAUACAUAUUUUCCUGCUGACGUCACAGAGAGUGGGGAGAUACUUUGUAACAAUUCGCGGAUAUUUAGUAACCGCCUCGCGGACGCUUUAAAUCUGUUCUGCGAGGGAAAUAAGCAAAGUAAUCAGGGAUGAAAGUCUGAAAUGCACAUGCAUGCAGUCACAGGGCUUGACACCGCCUGGACUGAAGCUUUGGACGGAUUCGCAGCGGUUUUUACCACACAAUAGUGUCCAGAUUGCCUCACUAGAGCUGUUUAUGUCGAAUCAUAAACUCGCCCCUGGGAACGAGACUACUCUCUUACACGAAAUACGUGUGUAUUUCUCUUCUUUUCCCUCCUGCUCCUCCAUUGCUUACUGGCGCAACAGCGUUUCAUUUGAACAGUCUCUCGUGCGCAUAGUGUUUAAUAUCAGCUUUAUUUGCCUUGCUUCUAGUUUGUCUGGGCGCAUACGAACGUAUAUAGACCGUUAGUGUGCAAUAUACAGAUAUUUCUCCACAUAAUCCCACACUAUCAAUGGGCUGUGUCCGAGCAGUUCAGACUCUUCAGCAGAGGUAAAUCACUUUCAAAAGCUCCUUACCUUCUUCCACAAGAGAUCUACCAGCCAGGGCGCUUCAAGUGACGUAACAAACCGGGAUGCGCGUGCCCGACACUGGCCUCCAUGACCGUCGUGACGUACACGAGCUCUUCUGCACUUCUUAUGCGAGGUGGCACCACAGAGACGAUGAUAUGCUGGUUAUGUACAGUGGGGUUCAAAUACAGUUUACUGCUUAGGAUAGAGACCUGUCUUCUGCACUCCAAAAGCGGUGAUGAAGAUGUUGAUGAUGACGAUUUUGUGUAUAAUACAUGAUGGAUUUCACUCUCACCCAUGUGGACAAAGAGAGCCCCCACGAGCACUUGGAAGAAGAGCGACGCGGCGAUGAGGACGAUGACAGUGAGGUAGUAGUUGAACUCGGGGCCCU
This is a long non-coding RNA of Cyprinus carpio (common carp), 1135 nucleotides long. RefSeq lists it as uncharacterized. The record is from RefSeq and is a predicted model, not a curated record. Lineage: Eukaryota; Metazoa; Chordata; Actinopteri; Cypriniformes; Cyprinidae. The transcript has 4 exons.